CAUUUGUCCAAACCCUUAGAAUGCACAACACCAAGAGUGAACCCUAAUGUCAACCACGGACUGCAGAGGAAGAAACUUGGACACACCAAGAGGCACCAGAAGUGCAUGCACACGUAGGGAAGGUGAUACGAGGCAACAAGGAGGACAACAUGUACCAGCUAAGGGAGGAGGCUUCAGAAGAAACCCCCUCUGCCAACACCUUGACCUUGAACUUCCAGCAUCUACUGUGUAGCGGGAUAAUUGAAGGUUCACGCAAGACUAAUGGAUUCCUUACCAAAGGAAUGGAGGCAUGAAGGGGACCUGAUGUCGCACAAUGACAACAGUAACAGCUAUUUAUCAGAAAAAUAGAUUGGAUUGACUCGCUUGUGGCACUGCCCCCAUUGUAAUGCUAAGUACACGUUUGGCACAAUUUA
This is a long non-coding RNA of Panthera uncia (snow leopard), 413 nucleotides long. RefSeq lists it as uncharacterized. The transcript has 3 exons. Lineage: Eukaryota; Metazoa; Chordata; Mammalia; Carnivora; Felidae. The record is from RefSeq and is a predicted model, not a curated record.